Molecule: ribosomal RNA, 508 nt
Filed under: uncultured bacterium
Lineage: Bacteria
Description: partial 16S ribosomal RNA
Rfam family: Bacterial small subunit ribosomal RNA
Source: RNAcentral
GAUGAACGCUAGCUACAGGCUUAACACAUGCAAGUCGAGGGGAAACGAUAUUGGAAGCUUGCUUCCGAUAGGCGUCGACCGGCGCACGGGUGAGUAACGCGUAUCCAACCUGCCCAUCACUUGGGGAUAACCUUGCGAAAGUAAGACUAAUACCCAAUGAUAUCUCUAGAAGACAUCUGCAGGAGAUUAAAGAUUUAUCGGUGAUGGAUGGGGAUGCGUCUGAUUAGCUUGUCGGCGGGGUAACGGCCCACCAAGGCGACGAUCAGUAGGGGUUCUGAGAGGAAGGUCCCCCACAUUGGAACUGAGACACGGUCCAAACUCCUACGGGAGGCAGCAGUGAGGAAUAUUGGUCAAUGGGCGAGAGCCUGAACCAGCCAAGUAGCGUGCAGGAUGACGGCCCUAUGGGUUGUAAACUGCUUUUAUAAGGGAAUAAAGUGAGUAUCGUGAGACUUUUUGCAUGUACCUUAUGAAUAAGGACCGGCUAAUUCCGUGCCAGCAGCCGCAGUAA